This 395-nucleotide ribosomal RNA is filed under the name uncultured bacterium. RNAcentral describes it as "bacterial SSU rRNA". It matches the Rfam family "Bacterial small subunit ribosomal RNA", at positions 29 to 426 of the family's 1533-position model. The record is from RNAcentral.
AUUGAACGCUGGCGGAAUGCUUCACACAUGCAAGUCGAACGGCAGCACGGGGCAACCUGGUGGCGAGUGGCGAACGGGUGAGUAAUACAUCGGAACGUGCCCAAUCGUGGGGGGAUAACGUAGCGAAAGUUACGCUAAUACCGCAUACGAUCUACGGAUGAAAGCGGGGGAUCGCAAGACCUCGCGCGAAUGGAGCGGCCGAUGUCAGAUUAGGUAGUUGGUGGGUAAAGGCUCACCAAGCCAACGAUCUGUAGCUGGUCUGAGAGGACGACCAGCCACACUGGAACUGAGACACGGUCCAGACUCCUACGGGAGGCAGCAGUGGGGAAUUUUGGACAAUGGGGCGCAAGCCUGAUCCAGCCAUGCCGCGUGUGUGAAGAAGGCCUUCGGGUUGG